Molecule: ribosomal RNA, 433 nt
Filed under: uncultured bacterium
Lineage: Bacteria
Description: partial 16S ribosomal RNA
Rfam family: Bacterial small subunit ribosomal RNA
Source: RNAcentral
AACGAACGCUGGCGGCAUGCCUAACACAUGCAAGUCGAACGAGACCUUCGGGUCUAGUGGCGCACGGGUGCGUAACGCGUGGGAACCUGCCCUUAGGUUCGGAAUAACUCCCCGAAAGGGGUGCUAAUACCGGAUAAUGUCUUCGGACCAAAGAUUUAUCGCCUUUGGAUGGGCCCGCGUUGGAUUAGCUAGUUGGUAGGGUAGAAGCCUACCAAGGCGACGAUCCAUAGCUGGUCUGAGAGGAUGAUCAGCCACACUGGGACUGAGACACGGCCCAGACUCCUACGGGAGGCAGCAGUAGGGAAUAUUGGACAAUGGGCGAAAGCCUGAUCCAGCAAUGCCGCGUGAGUGAUGAAGGCCUUAGGGUUGUAAAGCUCUUUUACCCGGGAUGAUAAUGACAGUACCGGGAGAAUAAGCUCCGGCUAACUCCGUG